RNAcentral lists this ribosomal RNA (639 nucleotides) under uncultured bacterium. RNAcentral's name for it is "bacterial SSU rRNA". It matches the Rfam family "Bacterial small subunit ribosomal RNA", at positions 87 to 711 of the family's 1533-position model. The record is from RNAcentral.
GAAAGCGAGCGGCGGAUGGGUGAGUAACACGAUGGGGAACCUGCCCCAUAGUCUGGGAUACCACUUGGAAACAGGUGCUAAUACCGGAUAAGAAAGCAGAUCGCAUGAUCAGCUUUUAAAAGGCGGCGUAAGCUGUCGCUAUGGGAUGGCCCCGCGGUGCAUUAGCUAGUUGGUAAGGUAAAGGCUUACCAAGGCGAUGAUGCAUAGCCGAGUUGAGAGACUGAUCGGCCACAUUGGGACUGAGACACGGCCCAAACUCCUACGGGAGGCAGCAGUAGGGAAUCUUCCACAAUGGACGCAAGUCUGAUGGAGCAACGCCGCGUGAGUGAAGAAGGUUUUCGGAUCGUAAAGCUCUGUUGUUGGUGAAGAAGGAUAGAGGUAGUAACUGGCCUUUAUUUGACGGUAAUCAACCAGAAAGUCACGGCUAACUACGUGCCAGCAGCCGCGGUAAUACGUAGGUGGCAAGCGUUGUCCGGAUUUAUUGGGCGUAAAGCGAGCGCAGGCGGAAGAAUAAGUCUGAUGUGAAAGCCCUCGGCUUAACCGAGGAACUGCAUCGGAAACUGUUUUUCUUGAGUGCAGAAGAGGAGAGUGGAACUCCAUGUGUAGCGGUGGAAUGCGUAGAUAUAUGGAAGAACACCA